Molecule: long non-coding RNA, 6312 nt
Organism: Aquila chrysaetos chrysaetos
Lineage: Eukaryota; Metazoa; Chordata; Aves; Accipitriformes; Accipitridae
Exons: 9
Source: RefSeq, a predicted model, not a curated record
CCCCCCAACAUACCCACACUCCUUGACACCUGCCCACGCGGGGCCGGGUCUUCGUGUAAAGCCGCUCCAGAGUGGGGGGCCAGCACGACACCCACCCACGCCCCCCCCCCCGCCACUCCACCCCCGGGCACUGGGGAGAGCCGUCCUGCCGCCCCCUCGCCGUGCACCACCUCCUUCCAUCCCUCCUCCAUCCCUCCAUCCCUCCCCUCCAUCCCUCCCUCCCAUCCUUCCCCGCACACCUCCCGCUCCGGUGCACACCGAAACUUCUCCCAGCCCGCCCCCCACCCCCCUCCACUCCCCGCCCGCCUCCCGCGCCCUAAAACCCAGCCGGGGCUUUGACGAGCGUUUUCAUGCUGUUUCCAAACCCGGAGCGAUGGAGGAGAGGGGAGAGUAGGAACCGGCAGCGAUUUAGGACACCCUCCUUCCAGCGACGAGUGGUCACGCUACAAGUUUGCCUGACAGCAGGGAUGGGAAGACAGUCUUUUCUGUUAGCACCAUGAUUUUUUUCUAAUUUUUCUUUUCUCCUUCUUUUUUUUUUUUUUUUUUUCCUGCUGUUGGCCGGCUGGUGGGUUCGGACAAAAGUUGCACAAAAUGGCAGAGCCUCCCAAAAACAAGACGCGGAAGAAACUGUUCUUCAGAAGUUAGCCGGAGGAAAACACCUUAGGAAACUCGACCUUUUGCUGCAAUUUUUUUUUCUUUUUAAGUUUCCAAAGAAAUGCCCCGCUUUCCUUCUUCUCUAGGAAAAGGUAGCCAUUGCUCUUCUUUAGACUAGACAUUUCUAAUUUGUUCCGUCUGUCAGAAUGGGACUAUGAGAGGUUUUGGUGCAAAUUCAUUAUCUCUGGCAACGCAUAACCUAUAGUAGGAACUGAAAAAGACCGUGGCAAUGGAUGAACAAUAGGGCUUCAGUUCAUCAGCAACAAAAGCGUUGGGGAAAUUGGUUGAAUUUCAGAGCACGUCCUCCUCAGCAGAGAGGGCUGGACUAGACCUUGGCCAACCCCCCCAAAAACUUGCAGAGCCUCACAUACAACACUUCACUUCUACUCCGGGGCGUAGGAAGCAAUACGGAAAAAGGAAAAUAAAAUAAUAAUAAAAAACCAAACCAGAAAUCCAACCCAAGCCAACUUUCUGCGUUUCUCUCCCGUUUUCCUGGAUGGAAGAUUUCUAACUCUUUUAGAGCGCAAGAAUUACACCGUGGAGCUAAGCGGCACUUUUAAAGAGGGAUGGCGAGGGGAAAGACGUGAAUUUCUGGAGACAUGAAAGAGCUUUCUCUGCUCGGAGGGGGCUUGGCCGUGGGGAUCUUUGUUUGCCACCGGAGGCUCAGCUCACCCCCUUAGAUCAGGGGUCAAAUCUUUCUCUGAUAAAGGCGAAGAAAUAUUUAGACAACGCAGACAGACCACAGGGAGUGACAGUCAUGACAAGAAACGAGCAGUGUAUGGCUAGUGACCUAUCUUCCCAAGGAGAAUGACUGAGAUGUCUGUUUGGAAUUAUUCCUGGAAUUAGACCAGCAUGAGGUCUCCUCUACCAAUCUGAGAGCCUGAUUCAGCAAAUUUACUUACAAGAAACUACUCGUAUGAGUAACCCAUUGAUACUAAGAUAUUUACUCAGGUGGCAAGAAGAAGAAAAAGUGAUUAUGAUGCAGCUGAAUUGCAAAAUCAAGAGCUAUUUCACAAGGACUCCACCCCCUGGGAUCUCAGUGAAUUAUGUUCCCAAUGAAAGAUUAAGUGACAAGUUUUAAUGAAGGAGUUUAUUCUUAGUUUCAAGUGUCAUGUGAAAGUCACUCAAGUGGAAAUUAUUACUCAGAAAGACCUCUUCUGUAAGAAGAGUGUUCACACAUACAAGUUUUGGCAAGGAUGGGCCCUCAGACUGCUGUGAGAACCCUUCCAUGGAUAAAGUUAGUGUGGGGAAAUGGAGUUUAGAACUGACUCUCGACACUUGAUGCACAUUUGGCAGGAGGCCAAGGUGAAUCACAAUAAACAUCCAGAAGAAAAUGCCAAAUACAAGAAAAUAACAGCAACUUAAUAUGAUUUAAUACCAAUAAAGUGGUUAAGGUUAGUGGAAACAGUCCUUGAUCUUUUCGUCUUCUAAUAAAUUAAAAAUGAUUUUAUAAUACAUUAUAGCUGGUGUAGCUCCUUCCAGCUAGGGCCAUCCAUCACAGCCUGGGUGGAAACACUGCCUUCUCUCUGUAUGAUGGCAGCCAAACUGUUGAGGAAGGUUCGUGGCAGAGGACAGAGGGUAACAAAGACCUACACGCUCUGUUCAGGAGCCCAUUCCUGCCAUUUUCUACAAUUUCCUUUUUGUUCUUUUAUUGAAGCAACAGGUACCAGCUCUUGCUCUAACAUGCACUGUGAUGCAGCCAUCCUAUCACUCCACACCUCCAAAGUGGUUUUGGGUCCCGGGAUGCAAAGACUGACCUUCAGCCAUGCCUAGCAAAACUGGUGGCACUGAGCAAUGCAAAUUGUCUUCCUGCACCACUUAUUGAGAGACCCCUGUGGCACCUGCCUCUCAUCUCCUCUCACCUCCUCACAUUUGAGUGUUUCAUCCUAAGGAGUCACAGCAGCUGAGGUACGACCUCACGUCUGAUGUAGACUUCAUUGCCCAAGCCCUCCCCUCUUUCACUGCCCGACCCACGGCUGCUCCCUUCCCGGCUCAGCAAAUCUGAACUAUUUUAUGCAGAAUACAGACGCUGUGGACUGAGGGGGUCUCCCACCCUGGGGCAUGUGGUGGUUAGGCCACCUCCUGAGAGGCUGCAGGAAGGGAUGAAGCUCCGUGAGGUGAAGGUGCAAUGUAAGCCUGUGUUUCCUAUACUCCCGUUGAGCUACCAAAGAAAACAUAGCAAAGAACAGGUGGGAGGUACUUCUGACUCCAGCACUGGUUUUUGUCAUGUCCGGUCCAGCAGAUGUUUCCCUGAAGAUCUCAUGAGAUGGACAAAGCCCCCUUUAAGUAUUAAAGGAUGUGAAGGAGACCCUUGGCUGUGCUGCAGUAGACUGUUGAGAACACGCAUGAUGAAAAUCACAUAAAGUUUGUGACUCCUGGCAUCAAGAUAAACUUAAAAGUUUUGGCUCAAUUCUGUUUUCAAGCUUUUACACUGCAAGUGUAAAAAUUUAAAAAUUAUAAACUGUGUCAGAAACCUGAAUAAAUCAAGAACAGUUAUGGAGACAAGUCCUUCCAAAAAUCAAGUCUGCUGCAAAUGGAGCUGAUGAAUAUCUGGAGCAAUGCAGUGUAUGAAAUGAGACGAGCAUUUCAGAUGGAGCUUCCACAGGCAGAUGUUUGCAAUCACAGUUUAAUAAAACUAACCACCAGUUGUAAUGUGACAAGUAAAAGAUAGCUCUCUGUAACAUGUUUAACUGUGACUUCCAGCUAUUCAGAGCCUCUCUUUUUAAAAAAGCACCACAAUGUGUAAAAUGGUGCUGUUGCUUGUAGGUUGCAGGCACCUCACACUGUUUGCAGCAGUGCAGCCUUUCCAUACUCCUGUGAUACAGGGAACCAGGGACGACAUGUUUUGCAGUGGAACAAUCUGUAAAGAAGAAAUACAUGUGCCGCCUAAUUGAGACCGACUGGCUGAUACCAAGACAAAUCCUACACCAUCUACCUGUUGUCUACUCUUCACUGGAGCUGUGUAAAGCUACUGAAAUAGUCAUCCAGUUUUGGGGUUGUGCACUUCAUUUUCUUUCCCUGCUAGAGAAAAAUAGGGCCAGAUGCUUAGGAUGGGAUAAACCUGCAUCGCAGCUGUGUAAGGUGGGAAGGAAGAACAUUUUCCAUUAAAAUCCUGCUAGUAGGGAAGUGGAGCUCUUUGCUUCCAGAUCUUAUUAGGAAGUUAGAAAAGGUAAAUUAUGGGACUAUCAACAUGGUGUGAAAUGAUGGAAGACAAAGUAAGAACAGGUACUGAUUUCACUCUCACUAUUUGGGUUAGAGGAAUGCUCCUCUUGCCUUCUUUUCCUGUGGGAUUGAUGGGUAUUAGGAAGUAGUCUCAGUGCAGUUCCCAGAAGAACCCGAUUUUAACUGGACUUGGAGGGAACCACAAUUAUCCCCUUGAAACUUCAGCGGGCAAUACCAGAUAUGUCAUUAAGAAAGUUCCACUAAUAUUGAGGUAUCCUUGCUCCCUGGAGCAGCAUCCAGAGAAAAACAACCCCUUAAGGCUACGAGGUGUGAUGCCUGCACUCCUGGCCACUGGCUACCUCUUGCUAAAGAGGCAUUAAGAAAACUCAAAUCAACAUUCUUGAUCUGUGCUGAAAAUUGCAUGAUGUUCCACCAUCGCUGUGAAAGAGGUUAUUAGUUCUGCAAAAGCUACUAUAUAAUUUCAUGGAGACAUUUCCCAUUGCUGAAACACAUUUGAAUGAAAUUAAUUUCUGAAUAAAAAAUUAACUGAAGAAUUUAAUGGAUGACACCAGAGUCAAAGUUUGGCAUUCUGAAUUCUCUUCUUUUUGCCUUUUAAAAAAAACAUGAAUGAAAACAUAGUUCACUCCCACCCUCUUUUGUGUAUCUUUUUGUUAAGUAUCUAUAUAAAUGAAUACCUACGCAAAUGUUAAUGUGAUUAUCACCACCAUCAGAAAAUGUUUUCCACAUCUUAAAACCAAUUCUUUUUUCUUUGCUUUUCUUAAUAUCUGAAGUGGAAAGUCAGUGCAGAAAGAUAACACCUUAGUCAUGGAUCAUUUUGUUUGACUUCUGUGGAGAGAAGCAGUUUACUUUAUGGUAUUUAUCUUGUAAUAAAGAGUUAAUGCUAACUUUGUUUUGUUUUGUUUUGUUUGUUUUGUUUUACUUUGGUUUACAGAUGAGGUAUCUUAGCUGCAUUGCAUAAAAGCACUUUAAGAUGGAUUACUGAAUACUGGGAAAUACAUCUACAGUUCUUAAUUUUUUGGAAACAAAAUAUGUUAGCAGCAAAAAGAAAACUUGGUUUUUAUCUGCAUCACAGAAUAUUCUGAAGACAGUAAUUAUUGACAAACUGUAUAGUGAGAGGUGUGGUUUGCACUGCUCUGGGGCCAGGGAGAGUUCUGCUUUUGGACAGCACGUAGCAUAAAAAAAAUCCUUGAGAGGAGGCACCACCAGAGUGUAAAAUAAGUAAAAAUCUGAUUCUCAGUUUACUUCUAAUUUUUCUUCAAGGAUUCAUCGAUCAUCCCCAGCUUUUGAGCAAAUCAAAUAAGGCACAUUUAGCACACGCACUGUUUCUUGUGCAUGCAAAAUUGCAAGGUGUGUGUUUCUUCAUGCUGGAGUACAGUUCUUGAAUCCUGAAGUCAGAGCCACGCAGGGAGAACCUGGAGAGUGCUCAGAGACUACUAAUUUAAGUGCAUCUUCAGACAUAUGCAUUAACCCAUGCAGGUCUGAGUACUUGACUGGGUUCUUCAACUAGGAGCAAGUCUACUGAGUUGACACAGAGUUAAACUAAACGGAAGAUGAAAAAGGUUCAAAAUACCCUUGAGAUGCAUGUACAACCACUGCACCAAAAUAUUUAUUUAUUUGCUUGCUUAGGAUUUAACAGUAAGUUUUACUUAGGCCCUUUCAUUAUUUACCUAUUGCACUGUGUACUGGAAAUGCAGCUCUUCUGUUAAAUUCCUAUUUGCUUACUUUCUUGCUUGCUUGCUUUCAGCGCCAUGGGCCCUAAUGGACAAAUCAGUUAAGGACAUUGUUUCAUUCUAAACAUAUAUAAACUUCAGAAACAGGCUGAUUUACAGCCAGUGAGAAUUUUGAAAUGGAAAUCAACAGAGAAAAGCUAUGAUCAGUACCUAAAGCAUGAUUUUCCUAUUUUAUAUUAUUUAUAAAUUAUAACUUAAAAUUAAAACCCAAUUUGUUUCUAUGAAAUAUGGCUAUGUAUAUUUCAUUCUUUAAAGGUUUCUUAGAGAGCUAUCUAUCUUCAUCUUCUCUAUGAAAUUACUGUUUUUUCAAAACUUCCUCCUUUAUCCUUGUGUUUCUUAUGCUCAGCAAUAAAAUUUUAGCUUUAUAUUAAACAAAAUGUAAAAUUCAAUGAAAAAACCCCUUAAAACAGUUUCAAGUCACUUGUAUUUUUAUUGCUAUUUUACAUUAAUUUUAUGAUUAUAGAGUUUAGCUUUUCAGAAAUCCUGUAGAUCUUCUGCAGACAAAAUCUUUGUUGAAAUUGCAUGAAACAAAGAUUAUAAAACUAAGCUGUGAGAUUAGCGCUGUGUGUGUGUGUGUGUGUGUGUGUGUGUGUGUGUAACACAGCCCCUGAUCAUUUUUAAUGCCAUGUCCUGCUGGCUAUUCAGAACACUUUUUCCACCAAUACAACAUAACUUUUGAUUUAUUUAAUGUAUAUGUUUUUCCCAAUUUCCUACUAAAAUAAACUGCUCAUAUUGCUUAAAUACA